CCUACGGGUGGCAGCAGUCGAGAAUCAUUCACAAUGGGGGAAACCCUGAUGGUGCGACGCCGCGUGGGGGAAUGAAGGUCUUCGGAUUGUAAACCCCUGUCAUGUGGGAGCAAAUUAAAAAGAUAGUACCACAAGAGGAAGAGACGGCUAACUCUGUGCCAGCAGCCGCGGUAAUACAGAGGUCUCACGCGUUGUCCGGAAUCACGGGGCGUAAAGCGUGCGUAGGCUGUUUCGUAAGUCGUGUGUGAAAGGCGCGGGCUCAAGCCGCGGACGGCACAUGAUACUGCGAGACUAGAGUGAUGGAGGGGGAACCGGAAUUCUCGGUGUAGCAGUGAAAUGCGUAGAUAUCGAGAGGAACACUCGUGGCGAAGGCGGGUUCCUGGACAUUAACUGACGCUGAGGCACGAAGGCCAGGGGAGCGAAAGGGAUUAGAUACCCCAGUAGUC
RNAcentral lists this ribosomal RNA (446 nucleotides) under uncultured bacterium. Its description in RNAcentral is "partial 16S ribosomal RNA". It matches the Rfam family "Bacterial small subunit ribosomal RNA", at positions 338 to 795 of the family's 1533-position model. The record is from RNAcentral.